UCUGACCUACCGUGCUGCCUGUCCUUU
Molecule: non-coding RNA, 27 nt
Filed under: Mus musculus (house mouse)
Lineage: Eukaryota; Metazoa; Chordata; Mammalia; Rodentia; Muridae
Source: RNAcentral